GACGAACGCUGGCGGCAUGCCUAACACACGCAAGUCGAACGGAACUUGUUGAAUGAAGUUUUCGGAUGGAUUUUGAUAAGUUUAGUGGCGGACGGGUGAGUAACGCGUGAGCAACCUGCCUUUCAGAGGGGGACAACAGUUGGAAACGACUGCUAAUACCGCAUAACGUAUCGGGAUCGCAUGAUCCUGAUACCAAAGAUUUAUCGCUGAAAGAUGGGCUCGCGUACGAUUAGAUAGUUGGUGAGGUAACGGCUCACCAAGUCGACGAUCGUUAGCCGGACUGAGAGGUUGAACGGCCACAUUGGGACUGAGACACGGCCCAGACUCCUACGGGAGGCAGCAGUGGGGAAUAUUGGGCAAUGGGGGAAACCCUGACCCAGCAACGCCGCGUGAAGGAAGAAAGGCC
This 406-nucleotide ribosomal RNA is filed under the name uncultured bacterium. RNAcentral's name for it is "bacterial SSU rRNA". It matches the Rfam family "Bacterial small subunit ribosomal RNA", at positions 28 to 417 of the family's 1533-position model. The record is from RNAcentral.